CGAAUCCACUUAGGCCCACCACCCUCAGAAGAUUCUAAGCAGGGGAUGUAGCUCAAUUGGGAGAGCGCUGCCCUUGCAAGGCAGAGGUUGGCGGUUCGAUCCCGCUCAUCUCCAC
RNAcentral lists this transfer RNA (115 nucleotides) under Candidatus Brocadia anammoxidans. Its description in RNAcentral is "tRNA-Ala". The stretch from base 42 to 114 matches the Rfam family "tRNA". From Rfam's summary of the family: Transfer RNA (tRNA) molecules are approximately 80 nucleotides in length. Their secondary structure includes four short double-helical elements and three loops (D, anti-codon, and T loops). The record is from RNAcentral. Lineage: Bacteria; Pseudomonadati; Planctomycetota; Candidatus Brocadiia; Candidatus Brocadiales; Candidatus Brocadiaceae.